AUGGUGUGCAAUUUUUGUAAUUACUUUAAUGAAAAAACAUCUUUUAAUCGUUUCUCGUGUAGAUUGAUGGGAGACUCCAAGCUUUCAGUGAAAAAUAAAUCCAAGGUUGAAGGUUUAAUAUGCACUGACUACUUGUAUCGUGAAACUACUUAUUUUUGCUCUCACUUUUUCAAGACCUUUAGCUUGUUGCCAAGUACAAGUUUAAGGAACGAUCCUCGAUCGGAUCAUGAGAAUGUCCAACCAACACUUCAAUUUUUAGCAAAUGUGGUCGUCCUAGUGGAAAGCCUUGAAACUAUUGGGUGCUUGAUAAGGAAUGGAAAUCUGCUCACACGCAUGUCCUAA
Molecule: non-coding RNA, 342 nt
Organism: Vicia faba (fava bean)
Lineage: Eukaryota; Viridiplantae; Streptophyta; Magnoliopsida; Fabales; Fabaceae
Source: the annotation of a GenBank genome assembly